AGUGAACGCUGGCGGUAGGCCUAACACAUGCAAGUCGAACGGCGGCACAGUAAGAGCUUGCUCUUACGGGUGGCGAGUGGCGGACGGGUGAGGAAUACAUCGGAAUCUACUUUUUCGUGGGGGAUAACGUAGGGAAACUUACGCUAAUACCGCAUACGACCUACGGGUGAAAGCAGGGGAUCUUCGGACCUUGCGCGAUUGAAUGAGCCGAUGUCGGAUUAGCUAGUUGGCGGGGUAAAGGCCCACCAAGGCGACGACCCGUAGCUGGUCUGAGAGGAUGAUCAGCCACACUGGAACUGAGACACGGUCCAGACUCCUACGGGAGGCAGCAGUGGGGAAUAUUGGACAAUGGGCGCAAGCCUGAUCCAGCCAUACCGCGUGGGUGAAGAAGGCCUUCGGGUUGUAAAGCCCUUUUGUUGGGAAAGAAAAGCAGCAGGUUAAUACCCCGCUGUUCUGACGGUACCCAAAGAAUAAGCACCGGCUAACUUCGUG
RNAcentral lists this ribosomal RNA (492 nucleotides) under uncultured bacterium. RNAcentral describes it as "partial 16S ribosomal RNA". It matches the Rfam family "Bacterial small subunit ribosomal RNA", at positions 29 to 507 of the family's 1533-position model. The record is from RNAcentral.